AUGAACGCUGGCGGCGUGCCUAAUACAUGCCAGUCGAGCGAACAGACGAGGAGCUUGCUCCUCUGACGUUAGCGGCGGACGGGUGAGUAACACGUGGAAAACCUACCUAUAAGACUGGGAUAACUUCGGGAAACCGGAGCUAAUACCGGAUAACAUGUUGAACCGCAUGGUUUAACAGUGAAAGACGGUCUUGCUGUCACUUAUAGAUGGAUCCGCGCCGCAUUAGCUAGUUGGUAAGGUAACGGCUUACCAAGGCAACGAUGCGUAGCCGACCUGAGAGGGUGAUCGGCCACACUGGAACUGAGACACGGUCCAGACUCCUACGAGAGGCAGCAGUAGGGAAUCUUCCGCAAUGGGCGAAAGCCUGACGGAGCAACGCCGCGUGAGUGAAGAAGGUCUUCGGAUCGUAAAACUCUGUUAUUAGGGAAGAACAAAUGUGUAAGUAACUAUGCACGUCUUGACGGUACCUAAUCAGAAAGCCACGGCUAACUACGUG
This 496-nucleotide ribosomal RNA is filed under the name uncultured bacterium. RNAcentral describes it as "partial 16S ribosomal RNA". It matches the Rfam family "Bacterial small subunit ribosomal RNA", at positions 29 to 507 of the family's 1533-position model. The record is from RNAcentral.